UCCCUGGUGGCUUAGAUGGUAAAGCCUCUGACUGCAAUGCGGGACACCCAGGUUUGAGGCCUGGCUCUGGAA
This 72-nucleotide transfer RNA is filed under the name Bos taurus (domestic cattle). It matches the Rfam family "tRNA". Rfam says of the family: Transfer RNA (tRNA) molecules are approximately 80 nucleotides in length. Their secondary structure includes four short double-helical elements and three loops (D, anti-codon, and T loops). RNAcentral also lists the same sequence under 2 other names. The record is from Rfam by way of RNAcentral. Lineage: Eukaryota; Metazoa; Chordata; Mammalia; Artiodactyla; Bovidae.